AUUGAACGCUGGCGGCAGGCCUAACACAUGCCAGUCGAACGGUAACAGGAAGAAGCUUGCUUCUUUGCUGACGAGUGGCGGACGGGUGAGUAAUGUCUGGGAAACUGCCUGAUGGAGGGGGAUAACUACUGGAAACGGUAGCUAAUACCGCAUAACGUCGCAAGACCAAAGGGGGGGACCUUCGGGCCUCUUGCCAUCGGAUGUGCCCAGAUGGGAUUAGCUAGUAGGUGGGGUAACGGCUCACCUAGGCGACGAUCCCUAGCUGGUCUGAGAGGAUGACCAGCCACACUGGAACUGAGACACGGUCCAGACUCCUACGGGAGGCAGCAGUGGGGAAUAUUGCACAAUGGGCGCAAGCCUGAUGCAGCCAUGCCGCGUGUAUGAAGAAGGCCUUCGGGUUGUAAAGUACUUUCAGCGGGGAGGAAGGGAGUAAAGUUAAUACCUUUGCUCAUUGACGUUACCCGCAGAAGAAGCACCGGCUAACUCCGUG
This 490-nucleotide ribosomal RNA is filed under the name uncultured bacterium. RNAcentral's name for it is "partial 16S ribosomal RNA". It matches the Rfam family "Bacterial small subunit ribosomal RNA", at positions 30 to 507 of the family's 1533-position model. The record is from RNAcentral.